UGUUAAUUGUAUUAUUAUCUUAUGUAGGAGUAUCUUGGGUGUAAAACUGUGGAAGUUUGGGUAAAUCAAAGUCAUAUUUGAGAAGGAAGCAGAUCCCAAAACAAAACUGAACACUGCAUACCAAAAGAUCUCAGUAUUACCUCAAAAUAUCUGAAGCCACUUAAGUUUUAACAAAGUGUUCAUACUCUCAAAUUAAAAUUACAUUCAGACCAGCUUCUUCAUAUCCUUUGAUAAUAUCAGAUUUUCUAAUAGAAUGAAUUUUGUGCCUAAAAAUAAAGUUUUUUUUUUUUUUGAUUGCUUAUUUUUAUAAUAACUGAAGAGAGAGAGAAAAAAAAAAAAAGAAUUCUCCCGAAAAUAGAUGCAUCUCUCUGUAACCAGUUAUUCAAGAUACUGGGACGAAAGGAACAAAGUGAUUUUCACAGAGACCUGAUUACAUUUGCUUUCCAAGCUAUGACAGCAUUUCAACACGCAAGCCAAAUAUCACCUGAUUUCAUCAUCACUUCCCACAGUUAGGUCCGGAAAUCAGUUUGUGAAUAUGCCAAGAGUUAAGGUCAGAAAGACAGACGGGGGUCUGAUUCAGCCAGAUGUUUAUGAGAGGUGUUUCUGUCAGGAACAUCAGCCUCAGGGCAGCUGUCAUGUCACUUUGCUCAGAUACUGCAGGAGGAGAAGACUAGACCACCAGGAUACAGAUCACAGUCUAAAGUCUUCUCCGUGGACCAAGAGAGGAAACUGCAGGCUUAUAUUAUGUGCAUAUUUGCAUAUGAAGUGGCCAGCAGAUGUGGCUGCAAAUAUCCAGAUGGAUGGGAUGCCAGGAGGAUGAUGGGAAAGGACUGGCUCAUCUCCUUCCUUGAACACAACAAUACAUCGUCUGUUCACCGUCCUCAAGACACCAGCAUGUCCCGCUCCACCAGCUUCAAUAAAACACAUGUGACUGCUUUUAUAACAACCUAUAAAAAUAAAGUGGUUUAAGACCACAAGACAAAUUCAUUGCUAUAUAACAUUUAAUAACAGAUAUAAACUACAGACCUUGAUACAUACUAUAGCAUAUACAGAUAAAUACAGACUAUGAGCUGAGUAAAUAUGUAAUUAUACAUGAGUAAAUAUGUAAUUACAUAAAAACACUACACACACCUAGCUAAAAUAAAUACAUUUACAAAUACAUAAAUUAAUAAAUAAAUAUUGAUAUAGAGAUAAUAAAACAAUAAUGGAAAUAAAUAUGUAAUUAUAUACAAACACUAACUA
Molecule: long non-coding RNA, 1242 nt
Organism: Carassius gibelio (silver crucian carp)
Lineage: Eukaryota; Metazoa; Chordata; Actinopteri; Cypriniformes; Cyprinidae
Exons: 3
Source: RefSeq, a predicted model, not a curated record